GGGUCAGUAGGUUGGUCGUGCCACCGGUACGUACUGGUCUCACUGAUUCCUCCUUCCUGAAGAACCGUAAUGCCAUUAAUAUGGUGUUGCGGGGAAACAGGACUGUUACUUUGAAAAAAUUAGAGUGUUUAAAGCAAGCUAACGCUUGAAUACGUUAGCAUGGAAUAAUGAAAUAGGACGAUCGAUCCUAUUUUGUUGGUUUCUAGGAUUGACGUA
RNAcentral lists this ribosomal RNA (216 nucleotides) under Glomeromycotina sp. RNAcentral describes it as "partial small subunit ribosomal RNA". The stretch from base 40 to 216 matches the Rfam family "Eukaryotic small subunit ribosomal RNA", at positions 686 to 864 of the family's 1831-position model. Lineage: Eukaryota; Fungi; Glomeromycota. The record is from RNAcentral.